GACGAACGCUGGCGGCGUGCUUAACACAUGCAAGUCGAACGGAAAGGCCCUGCUUUUGUGGGGUGCUCGAGUGGCGAACGGGUGAGUAACACGUGAGUAACCUGCCCUUGACUUUGGGAUAACUUCAGGAAACUGGGGCUAAUACCGGAUAGGAGCUCCUGCUGCAUGGUGGGGGUUGGAAAGUUUCGGCGGUUGGGGAUGGACUCGCGGCUUAUCAGCUUGUUGGUGGGGUAGUGGCUUACCAAGGCUUUGACGGGUAGCCGGCCUGAGAGGGUGACCGGCCACAUUGGGACUGAGAUACGGCGCAGACUCCUACGGGAGGCAGCAGUGGAGAAUAUUGCACAAUGGGCGGAAGCCUGAGGCAGCAACGCCGCGUGCGGGAUGACGGCCUUCGGGUGGUAAACCGCUUUCGCCUGUGACGAAGCGUGAGUGACGGUAAUGGGUAAAGAAGCACCGGCUAACUACGUG
RNAcentral lists this ribosomal RNA (468 nucleotides) under uncultured bacterium. RNAcentral's name for it is "partial 16S ribosomal RNA". It matches the Rfam family "Bacterial small subunit ribosomal RNA", at positions 28 to 507 of the family's 1533-position model. The record is from RNAcentral.